ACGUAGGUGGCAAGCGUUGUCCGGAUUUAUUGGGUUUAAAGGGUGCGCAGGCGGCCUUAUAAGUCAGUGCUGAAAUAUCCCGGCUUAACCGGGAGGGUGGCAUUGAUACUGUAGGGCUUGAGUAAAGUUGAGGUUGGCGGAAUUGACGGUGUAGCGGUGAAAUGCUUAGAUAUGACACAGAACACCGAUUGCGAAGGCAGCUCACUAAACUGUAACUGACGCUGAGGCACGAAAGCGUGGGGAGCAAACAGGA
This 253-nucleotide ribosomal RNA is filed under the name uncultured prokaryote. RNAcentral's name for it is "partial 16S ribosomal RNA". It matches the Rfam family "Bacterial small subunit ribosomal RNA", at positions 525 to 777 of the family's 1533-position model. The record is from RNAcentral.